UAGAGUUUGAUCCUAGCUCAGGAUGAACGCUGGCGGCGUGGAUAAGGCAUGCAAGUCGAGCGAGCCGUGCAGAGCACGGAAAUCCGAAAUUCUAAACACUAAACUCUAAACAAGUUCAAAAUUCCAAUAUUUCAAACUCUAAGCGAGACCCGUUUUGAGUCUGUGGUUUGGUUUUUGUAUUUUGUUUAGGAUUUAGAUAUUAGAGUUUAGAGUUUCCGCGCUCUGCGCGGUUAGCGGCAGACGAGGUAGUAAUAAGCAGGUAACGUACCAUAGAGUCAGGCAUAGCUCAUCGAAAGGUGAGGUAAUUCCUGAUAGCACCUUGUGCGAAGCACAGAGGAACAAAGCACAAAACACAGACAUACACAAAAAACCAAACAAAACACAAAAAAUUCAAACCACACAAACACUUCUUCGUUUGUGCUUUGAGAGCAUGUGCUUUGUUUGGACUUUGUGCACUGUGCUUUGGAGGAGUUUGUUUUUCCGCGUUUCGCGCGAGGUUAAAGUCGCAAGACGCUCUUUGAACGGCCUGCUCGGUAUCAGCUAGUUGGCAGGGUAAAAGCCUACCAAGGCUAUGACGCCUAGGGGACCUGAGAGGGUGACCCCCACCGAUGGAACUGAGAAACGGUCCAUACACCUACGGGUGGCUGCAGCCGAGAAUAUUCGACAAUGGGCGAAAGCCUGAUCGAGCGACGCCGCGUGGAGGAUGAAGUGCUUCGGCAUGUAAACUCCUUUUGUAGACUAGAAAGUUUAUUGAUCAGUCUAAGAAUAAGAGGUUACUAAACUCGUGAACCGUUCGGAUUAAGCUCCGAACAUUCCAAAUUAGUAUUAAAAACUCGUGCCCCGUACACAGCUCUGCUGUUGUACUGGGGUGUAUAUCGUGCGCGACUUUCUGCCGUAAGGCAGAUCGAAAAUUCGGCUUAUAUGCUGGGACGCUAUUGAGAACUGCGCUCUGAUAUUCCAUCGGAGUCCUCGAUAGUCAAUCAGCAGGGAAGUCGGCUAUACUUAAGGCACAUGGCCUUAUCGCAAACACAAGAGCAGAUUGUAACGGGCUUGUUGCUCGGAGAUGGGUAUCUUGAAUUCGAUAAAUUCAAGGCAAGCCGUCUUCAGAUAAAACAAGCGGAGUGUAAAAAGGAGUAUGUGUUCUGGCUUUACACGCAUUUCGCGGAUAAAGUACGAACUCCUCCAAAGCAAAGAGGAGACACCAUGCAGUGGUAUUUCAGCACCCGUUCCUUACGGGAACUUGAAGAGUGGCGCAGCAAUUUUUACCCCAAUGGUAAGAAAAUUGUGCCAAGAAAUAUCACUGAACUGUUGGUUGACCCCAUUACUUUGGCAGUGUGGUUUAUGGAUGACGGCGUGUUAGAUUACCGAAUCCGAUCCCAUUACUCGUUUACGCUAAGUACCGAUGCGUUCAGUAUCGCGGAGGUGCAAUUGUUACAGCAUACUUUACUCAAGAAUUUCGGCAUUGAGUCUUCGAUUCAAACACCGAGUUCAAGGGGUACAAAGUAUACGAAAUUAUAUAUCGGCAAAAAUGGCAGGGAAAAGUUCCUCGAAGCCGUUAAGCCCUAUAUGCUCAAAUGUUUUGCGUAUAAGAUUCCGCCUCACUAUAGCUUGACCCCUCAGAGACUGAACUCAAUGCAAUUGCAGCGAGUGAGAUAGAAUCCACAAAAUUCUAUAAAACGCCGACCCCUAACUAUGUUAGGGUGAUGAUAUAGUCCAAUUCUUACAGCAAUGUAAGUUAAAGUGGCCAGCAGUAGCGGUAAUACGAGUGCCUCAAGCGUUAUCCGGAAUUACUGGGCGUAAAGGGUGUGUAGGCGGCUGUGUUAGUCUUCUGUCAAAUUCUUCGGCUUAACCGGAGGCUCGCAGAAGAAACGGCACGGCUUUGAGGGUGCAAGAGGUUUGCGGAACUCAUGGUGUAGGGGUGAAAUCCGUUGAUAUCAUGGGGAACACCGAAAGCGAAGGCAGCAAGCUGGUGCACUCCUGACGCUGAAACACGAAAGCGUGGGUAGCGAAUGGGAUUGACGUUCACAUUCUCUUUUCACAAACGUGCUUCGGUACUUAAGAAAAUUAUAGUCGGCUCACGACGGAAAUUUCAUAACUCGCUCCGAUAAGAAUCAGAGCUCAAACAGAUGAAAUUUCCUGUUCGCCUCCUUAAUUUUCAAAUUACCUCCCGCAAUGUUUGCUCAAAGAGAAUGUUCACUAAGCUGGUAAGAAAGCAUAGUGGUGCGUAGGGGUACGUAGAACACUGGUCCCUUUGGUAUUACUUGCACUGAAAGAAGCAUAGUUCUUUGGGGAAGAGAGAUGGCCAGCACGGGGAAGUGGAGCCGUGAAGGGAAAUUCUCUCAUGCGGGCGGCUUUUGCCCGCGUGUUAUAAGUCGACAUCCCUCUGAUGUGAUAAUUCGGUUUGAAAUCCCGAUGAGAUUAGAACACCUCGCGCCACUCAGGUGGUUGACGGGUGUAUAUAAGAAUCAGUCGGUUGUUCCGAAACAACACAUCUCUUUUCCCCCUUCCAAUUCUGCCAAGCAAGUCUUGGCGCUUCUUUCAGUGCCGGUAACCAAAUAAAAUUUGGCUAUAUGCUGGAAUAUCCGAGUAUCCGAGAGUACCGCAAGGUAACAAUCUCUCGGUGCGGCCGCCGUCGCUAAAAGCUAUGGCGAGCCAACGGACAAUCAGCAGGGAAGACUUAGAAAAUGCAAAAUGUAAAUCUCAAAAUGAAAAAUUGUCGUGUCUAGCUCCGUUGGACUCCAUAAUUUUAAUCUCUGACUUUUCCAUUUUUAAUUUCUUUGAACCCUCAGAGACUAUACGCCAAACUAGUCACGAAGCGUGUAGCGCGAAGCGUAUAGCGUAAAAAGAGAAAUCUUCUUGCGUUAUAUGUUACAAGUUAUACGGUUUGCGAUUGGAAGAUAUAGUCCGAACUGCAUGGCGACAUGCAGAGACAAGUAGAAAUAUCUUGUCCGCAAGUUUGUAAUUUUAAGAUUUCAUCUCCGAUUUAUUUGAAAAUUGGGAAUUGAUAAUUGAAAAUUACAAUUUUGUAGCAACAAAAUUGUAGAUACCCCAGUAGUCCACGCCCUAAACGAUGUUCAUUGGCUUUUCAGAGUAUCGACCCUCCGAGAGGCGAAGCUAACGCGAUAAAUGAACCGCCUGGGUAGUACGACCGCAAGGUUAAAACUCAAAGGAAUAGACGGGGACUUGCACAAGCGGUGGAUUGUGUGGUUCAAUUCGAUGGUAAGCGAAGAACCUUACCAGGGUUAGAAAUCUAGGUGAAGCGGAGCAGAAACGUUCCGCGUCUCACAAGGACUCCUAGACAGGUGCUGCAUGGUCGUCGUCAGUUCGUGGUUUGA
RNAcentral lists this ribosomal RNA (3335 nucleotides) under Parcubacteria group bacterium GW2011_GWC2_48_17. RNAcentral's name for it is "partial 16S ribosomal RNA". The stretch from base 1647 to 3335 matches the Rfam family "Bacterial small subunit ribosomal RNA", at positions 1 to 1070 of the family's 1533-position model. The record is from RNAcentral.